Molecule: long non-coding RNA, 724 nt
Organism: Micropterus dolomieu (smallmouth bass)
Lineage: Eukaryota; Metazoa; Chordata; Actinopteri; Centrarchiformes; Centrarchidae
Exons: 4
Source: RefSeq, a predicted model, not a curated record
GUUAUAAAAAUGAAUCAGUACCCUUGUCUAAGUCUGAGUAGAUGUGUGCAGCUGUACUGAACUAUCUACCGUGUGAAGAUGACCGAACAUGGACAUUUGUGUCGCUUUGCGUAAAAACUCAUAACAAGUUACUGUGUUUACACUGAAGACAGCCUUCCUGCUGACCUGCGACACAUUAACUAGCUAAAUGUCGGAUAACUACAGGGCGUUUGUUGUCAUUGCACACACAUCUUUACACUUGGCACAUGGGAACAGAUGAGCUGGACUUCAAGACUAACUCCUAAAGGAAGCAUUAGAGCUGAACUAUGCUGUGACUAUUAUUCUCUGCACUGCGCAAUGCCGCUGAAUGCAUAGUCUCCUGCUGUGGCUCCUCAAAGAAGGACAGGACAUCAGCAGGAUGCCCAUACCAGUAUGAAGGGCAGAACGUGUGGACAGUCUCAAGUGAUGGAACAAAAUCCACUCAAAAUCAUCCCUAAUUGCUCCCAGCAGAGUGGACAGAAGAGAUGCACAUUUCCCCACCACCCGAUUUACCUCUCAAGCGUAUUUACUUGAUCUUUUUUGCUCUGUGCUUGUUUUAAUGAUGACUUGUCCUAAAACUCCUGGUUGGGAAGUUGGAUGAUGUCUGACAGCUGACAAGUGCAGCAGUGGCUCAGAAGUGGCUUACAAUUUCCUGUAUGUACCAAUCAUUUAUAUGGUAUGAAAGUGGCCAGCACAGCAAAUUAAA